UAAACUUUGUGCAAAAUGGUCAUGACCAUCCACAUAACUCAUCCUCAUCCUACGGUAUACCCCGGUUGCCUCUUAGAGAUACUUCUGCUGCCUCUGUUGCUGGAAAGUGCAAAAGGGAGAAUACCAUUGAGAAAAACCUUAAGUCCACUGAUCCCCCUUAGAAGCAUAUUGCUCCUUCUGAAAAAGAUAAGGAAAAAAGAUAUUCUAGUUCAUGGAAAUCAAUGG
Molecule: unclassified non-coding RNA, 225 nt
Filed under: Hevea brasiliensis (rubber tree)
Lineage: Eukaryota; Viridiplantae; Streptophyta; Magnoliopsida; Malpighiales; Euphorbiaceae
Source: RNAcentral